CUGUGGCAGCUGCACCUGCCCUGAGAGGAAGAGGAAGUCCCCGAGUGGGGGAUCCCGGGGCCAGCCACAGACACCCUGUGCAGCUUCCUCCUUCCGGGUGCAGGCGGGCCUGGGCAGUCUGAGUCCUACCUCAACCCCCACCUCACCUCCCUGCAUCCUCCUAACAUCUCUGCAGGGCUAGCCCAGAGGUUGGCGGCGGAAGGCCCACAGCUCCCCUGGCUCCAUGGGCAAUGACCGGACAGCCCUUCACCUCUCUGGGCCUUGUUUUCUCAAACUGAAACUGGAGAGGAUGACCCCAGCCUGGGACCUUCGAGGGCCUCAAAAGGGCUCUGGGCCUUGCGUGGCUGGACGAUGAAUGUGAUGGCUGGAACUCAAGCAGCCACAGUGGAUCAUAAGGGACGGUGUCUUGCUGUGUUGUCCAAGCUUGUCUCAAACUGGCCUGAAUCAAUGCUUCCACCUCAGCUGCCAGAGGAACCGGGAUUACAGGCCUGAGCCACUGCAGCCAGCCAGUUUGUUAUUUUAAUGUAAAUUCUUAGUAAACAACUCAGGAACUCUCUUGUCCUUUUAAAAUCCAUUUCAACUGCUGCUAAUCGGAGUGUAUAUUCAGGGCAACUUGAAUCUGUGCUCCUGGGAUGCAAUCCUCAAGCUUGGCCCAAAUAAAGUCUCCGCUGAUAUUAA
This is a long non-coding RNA of Gorilla gorilla gorilla (western lowland gorilla), 678 nucleotides long. RefSeq lists it as uncharacterized. The transcript is spliced from 3 exons. Lineage: Eukaryota; Metazoa; Chordata; Mammalia; Primates; Hominidae. The record is from RefSeq and is a predicted model, not a curated record.